This 247-nucleotide ribosomal RNA is filed under the name uncultured bacterium. RNAcentral describes it as "partial 16S ribosomal RNA". It matches the Rfam family "Bacterial small subunit ribosomal RNA", at positions 523 to 769 of the family's 1533-position model. The record is from RNAcentral.
AUACGUAGGUGGCAAGCGUUGUCCGGAAUUAUUGGGCGUAAAGAGCAUGUAGGUGGAUACUUAAGUCUGUUGUGAAAAUGCGGGGCUCAACCCCGUAUUGCGAUGGAAACUGGGUGUCUUGAGUGCAGGAGAGGAAAGGGGAAUUCCCAGUGUAGCGGUGAAAUGCGUAGAUAUUGGGAGGAACACCAGUGGCGAAGGCGCCUUUCUGGACUGUGUCUGACACUGAGAUGACGAAAGCUAGGGGAGC